AUGGUCCAAGUAAUGAAGGUUGUGUAUGGUGAUGCUCAGUACAAUGCGAGCAAGCAGCCCAAAUGGGAGCUUUUUGCAAAGAAACCAACGUUUGUGAAGGUUCCACUUCAAGGGGCGAAUGAAUGUGGCCAUUAUACUCUGAAGUAUGCGGGAUCCUAUGAUGGUGAAAAGAUCGUUGGGAACAUUCGAGAUAAUGAUCCUCGUAUUGUUGAUCGGAAUGCUGAGGAUCUGUAUAGAGUUGUGUUCAACCGGAAUAACCAGCUUCUGGUGAUGGAGCUUCCCAAGGAGGUUCAGGCUUUGGCUCCUGGUGCAUAG
Molecule: ribosomal RNA, 315 nt
Filed under: Triticum aestivum (bread wheat)
Lineage: Eukaryota; Viridiplantae; Streptophyta; Magnoliopsida; Poales; Poaceae
Description: partial small subunit ribosomal RNA
Source: RNAcentral